Molecule: ribosomal RNA, 1554 nt
Filed under: Salmonella enterica subsp. enterica serovar Rubislaw str. SA20030553
Lineage: Bacteria; Pseudomonadati; Pseudomonadota; Gammaproteobacteria; Enterobacterales; Enterobacteriaceae
Also listed under: 1 other name
Description: bacterial SSU rRNA
Rfam family: Bacterial small subunit ribosomal RNA
Source: RNAcentral
UUAAAUUGAAGAGUUUGAUCAUGGCUCAGAUUGAACGCUGGCGGCAGGCCUAACACAUGCAAGUCGAACGGUAGCACAGAGAGCUUGCUCUCGGGUGACGAGUGGCGGACGGGUGAGUAAUGUCUGGGAAACUGCCUGAUGGAGGGGGAUAACUACUGGAAACGGUGGCUAAUACCGCAUAACGUCGCAAGACCAAAGAGGGGGACCUUCGGGCCUCUUGCCAUCAGAUGUGCCCAGAUGGGAUUAGCUAGUUGGUGAGGUAACGGCUCACCAAGGCGACGAUCCCUAGCUGGUCUGAGAGGAUGACCAGCCACACUGGAACUGAGACACGGUCCAGACUCCUACGGGAGGCAGCAGUGGGGAAUAUUGCACAAUGGGCGCAAGCCUGAUGCAGCCAUGCCGCGUGUAUGAAGAAGGCCUUCGGGUUGUAAAGUACUUUCAGCGGGGAGGAAGGUGUUGUGGUUAAUAACCGCAGCAAUUGACGUUACCCGCAGAAGAAGCACCGGCUAACUCCGUGCCAGCAGCCGCGGUAAUACGGAGGGUGCAAGCGUUAAUCGGAAUUACUGGGCGUAAAGCGCACGCAGGCGGUCUGUCAAGUCGGAUGUGAAAUCCCCGGGCUCAACCUGGGAACUGCAUUCGAAACUGGCAGGCUUGAGUCUUGUAGAGGGGGGUAGAAUUCCAGGUGUAGCGGUGAAAUGCGUAGAGAUCUGGAGGAAUACCGGUGGCGAAGGCGGCCCCCUGGACAAAGACUGACGCUCAGGUGCGAAAGCGUGGGGAGCAAACAGGAUUAGAUACCCUGGUAGUCCACGCCGUAAACGAUGUCUACUUGGAGGUUGUGCCCUUGAGGCGUGGCUUCCGGAGCUAACGCGUUAAGUAGACCGCCUGGGGAGUACGGCCGCAAGGUUAAAACUCAAAUGAAUUGACGGGGGCCCGCACAAGCGGUGGAGCAUGUGGUUUAAUUCGAUGCAACGCGAAGAACCUUACCUGGUCUUGACAUCCACAGAACUUUCCAGAGAUGGAUUGGUGCCUUCGGGAACUGUGAGACAGGUGCUGCAUGGCUGUCGUCAGCUCGUGUUGUGAAAUGUUGGGUUAAGUCCCGCAACGAGCGCAACCCUUAUCCUUUGUUGCCAGCGGUCCGGCCGGGAACUCAAAGGAGACUGCCAGUGAUAAACUGGAGGAAGGUGGGGAUGACGUCAAGUCAUCAUGGCCCUUACGACCAGGGCUACACACGUGCUACAAUGGCGCAUACAAAGAGAAGCGACCUCGCGAGAGCAAGCGGACCUCAUAAAGUGCGUCGUAGUCCGGAUUGGAGUCUGCAACUCGACUCCAUGAAGUCGGAAUCGCUAGUAAUCGUGGAUCAGAAUGCCACGGUGAAUACGUUCCCGGGCCUUGUACACACCGCCCGUCACACCAUGGGAGUGGGUUGCAAAAGAAGUAGGUAGCUUAACCUUCGGGAGGGCGCUUACCACUUUGUGAUUCAUGACUGGGGUGAAGUCGUAACAAGGUAACCGUAGGGGAACCUGCGGUUGGAUCACCUCCUUACCUUAAAGAAGC